UCCGCAGAAUCACUAGUGAAAUAAUGAGCUCCACCUGUGGAUCUUUUAAAAUGUGUCAGUGAGUAAUGCAUACAGGUGUGCACCUUCUACCGUACCUGAGUGUGCCUUGGAAACCACCCAAUAACAACGGACAAUGCUGUUUGUUACAGCAAAAUGUGGCCGAGCACAACGGGAAGCUGCUGCUGCUGGGAGCCCAGACCAACCCAGUUCUCAGCCCCCCUCCCCUUCUGUUGCCCAAUCCCCCUCUUCUUCCCAGUCCCCUUCUCAGCCCCCUCCCCUUCUGUUGCCCAAUCCCCCUCUUCUUCCCAGUCCCCUUCUCAGCCCCCCUCCCCUUCUGUUGCCCAAUCCCCCUCUUCUUCCCAGUCCCCUUCUCAGCCCCCCUCCCCUUCUGUUGCCCAAUCCCCCUCUUCUUCCCAGUCCCCUUCUCAG
This is a long non-coding RNA of Pseudophryne corroboree (corroboree frog), 429 nucleotides long. RefSeq lists it as uncharacterized. The transcript has 3 exons. NCBI's taxonomy places the organism in Eukaryota, Metazoa, Chordata, Amphibia, Anura, Myobatrachidae. The record is from RefSeq and is a predicted model, not a curated record.